This 856-nucleotide ribosomal RNA is filed under the name Lactiplantibacillus plantarum. RNAcentral's name for it is "bacterial SSU rRNA". It matches the Rfam family "Bacterial small subunit ribosomal RNA", at positions 63 to 903 of the family's 1533-position model. The record is from RNAcentral. Lineage: Bacteria; Bacillati; Bacillota; Bacilli; Lactobacillales; Lactobacillaceae.
CGAACUCUGGUAUUGAUUGGUGCUUGCAUCAUGAUUUACAUUUGAGUGAGUGGCGAACUGGUGAGUAACACGUGGGAAACCUGCCCAGAAGCGGGGGAUAACACCUGGAAACAGAUGCUAAUACCGCAUAACAACUUGGACCGCAUGGUCCGAGUUUGAAAGAUGGCUUCGGCUAUCACUUUUGGAUGGUCCCGCGGCGUAUUAGCUAGAUGGUGGGGUAACGGCUCACCAUGGCAAUGAUACGUAGCCGACCUGAGAGGGUAAUCGGCCACAUUGGGACUGAGACACGGCCCAAACUCCUACGGGAGGCAGCAGUAGGGAAUCUUCCACAAUGGACGAAAGUCUGAUGGAGCAACGCCGCGUGAGUGAAGAAGGGUUUCGGCUCGUAAAACUCUGUUGUUAAAGAAGAACAUAUCUGAGAGUAACUGUUCAGGUAUUGACGGUAUUUAACCAGAAAGCCACGGCUAACUACGUGCCAGCAGCCGCGGUAAUACGUAGGUGGCAAGCGUUGUCCGGAUUUAUUGGGCGUAAAGCGAGCGCAGGCGGUUUUUUAAGUCUGAUGUGAAAGCCUUCGGCUCAACCGAAGAAGUGCAUCGGAAACUGGGAAACUUGAGUGCAGAAGAGGACAGUGGAACUCCAUGUGUAGCGGUGAAAUGCGUAGAUAUAUGGAAGAACACCAGUGGCGAAGCGGCUGUCUGGUCUGUAACUGACGCUGAGGCUCGAAAGUAUGGGUAGCAACAGGAUUAGAUACCCUGGUAGUCCAUACCGUAACGAUGAUGCUAGUGUUGAGGUUUCGCCCUCAGUGCUGCAGCUACGCAUAGCAUCCGCCUGGGGAGUACGCCGCAGCUGAAACUCC